This 556-nucleotide ribosomal RNA is filed under the name uncultured archaeon. RNAcentral describes it as "bacterial SSU rRNA". It matches the Rfam family "Archaeal small subunit ribosomal RNA", at positions 95 to 654 of the family's 1478-position model. The record is from RNAcentral.
UACACGUAGGUAACCUACCCUCAGGACUGAGAUAACCCCGGGAAACUGGGGCUAAUAUUAGAUAGAUAAAAGAUACUGGAAUGUUCUUUUAUCCAAAGCUUUUGCGCCUGAGGAUGGGCCUGCGUCCGAUUAGGUUGUUGGUGGGGUAAUGGCCCACCAAGCCUACGAUCGGUACGGGCAGUGAGGGCUGAAGCCCGGAGUUGGGGACUGAGACAAGGCCCCAGGCCCUACGGGGCGCAGCAGGCGCGAAACCUCUGCAAUGCGGGAAACCGUGACAGGGGGAUCCCAAGUGCUCAUGCAUUGCAUGGGCUGUUCUUUGGUCUAAGUAACCAGAGGAGUAAGGGCUGGGCAAGACCGGUGCCAGCCGCCGCGGUAAUACCGGCAGCUCAAGUGGUAGCCGCGAUUAUUGGGCCUAAAGCGUUCGUAGCCGGAUAAGUAAGUCUUUGGUUAAAUCCUGCGACUUAACCGUGGGAAAUCUAGAGAUACUGCUUGUCUUGAGACCGGGAGAGGUUGGAGGUACUCCCAGGGUAGGGGUGAAAUCCUGUAAUCCUGGGGG